UUAAGGGGGGUAGAGUUGUAACGCCCCAAUUUUCGGGAAUUCUGUGAAUGAUUGGCAAAAUUUCAUGCUUUAAUUUUGUCAUUUGUGAGUGAAAUUAUGAAAUAGGACCUAUGUGAAAAUGUUUGAAAAUGCUAUAGGCUAAAUUGAAGUGACCAAAUAAAUAGGAGUGCAAAAUAGGAGGAUUUGCAUGACAAGCCUCCCAUUUUACAUGAAGUGGCCAGCCAUCAUGUUGAAUGUAGACAAAAUGUACACUUGAUAUCCAUAAUUUAUGGUACAAAUUGAUACAAAUUGAUAAUAGGUUAGGUAAAUGUUUCAUGAUAAUGUGUUAGGUAAAUGUUUCAUGAUAAUGGGUUAGGUAAAUGUUUUAUGAUAAUGUAUUAGGUAAAUGUUUCAUGAUAAUGGGUUAGGUAAAUGUUUCAUGAUAAGAAUUUCAUGUCUUUUGUAUUAAAGAAUUAAAUGGAUGAAAUAUGAAGUUUUAUUAAAGAAAAAGGGGUGAAAAGAACAAAGUUUUGUCCAUCUUUGUUCAUCAUAGCUGAAAGUUAGAGAAGAGAAAGGAGAGGAGAAAGCUCUUGAGUAUUUGGUCAUUAGGAGGAGGAGAAUUGAAGGCGGUUCGUGUGUGGAUCUCGUCAACAUAUCGUCGCAAAGCAGUGUGUAACUAACACCCUCUUUCUUAGUCGGAUCGGCAAAAGUCGAAAAGUCGAAAUGCCGAAAACCGGUAUUUUGUAGAUUUGCGAGUGUGCGAAUGUUCGUGAGGAAAUCCCCAACCAUAGUGGGCUUGGAGCUGUGAGGGAAUUCGGAGUGGCCACCCGUUCUGAAAGUUUGAUUUUCUUCUGGUGAACUGGACAUCCUUUUAAUUACGUUUGUGGUUUUGGGCUUUUAAAUGUAAUAAGGCCGCUUAUUUAUUUUUGGUGGUUUUUAAUAUGUAUUAGUAAGAUAGGUAAUACUUAUUUUAACUGUUGAAAUUGGAUAGCUUUAGGGCGCGUUUUCAAAAACAA
Gossypium arboreum is the source of this 995-nucleotide long non-coding RNA. RefSeq lists it as uncharacterized. Lineage: Eukaryota; Viridiplantae; Streptophyta; Magnoliopsida; Malvales; Malvaceae. The transcript has 3 exons. The record is from RefSeq and is a predicted model, not a curated record.